Molecule: ribosomal RNA, 369 nt
Filed under: uncultured eukaryote
Lineage: Eukaryota
Description: partial 18S ribosomal RNA
Rfam family: Eukaryotic small subunit ribosomal RNA
Source: RNAcentral
CAAUAGCGUAUAUUAAAGUUGUUGCAGUUAAAAAGCUCGUAGUUGAAUUUCUGGUGGGCGCGCCGGUCUUCCAAGUGUUGUACUGGGCGCAGUCCGCCAUCCUUGUGGAGAGGGCUCGCAUUGAGUUGCGUGUCGGAUCUGCAUCAUUUACUGUGAAAAAAUUAGAGUGUUUAAAGCAGGCUGUCGCUUGAAUACAUUAGCAUGGAAUAAUAAGAUAGGACUUUGGUACUAUUUUGUUGGUUUGCAUACCAAAUUAAUGAUCAACAGGAACAGUUUGAGGAUAUUCGUAUGAACAUGUCAGAGGUGAAAUUCUUGGAUUUUGAUCAGACGAACUACUGCGAAAGCAUUUAUCAAGGAUGUUUUCAUUAA